GUGUGUGUGUGUGUGUGUUAAAUUCAGUUAAGUUCAUGAUAUUCUAUAGUUCAGAAAUCAGGAUUGGUCAAUUUGAUUUGAAGUUAGGCAAACUAUACUAAUGCUAUUCUUCAGUGAAAUCUAGUUUCCUGUGUAAUCAUGCUCUAUGUGUGUGUGUGUGCCCAGGAAGUUGCAUGGACCCUCAGCUAUCGCGAAGUUUGAUCUUGUGGAGGGCGAGAAUAUCGAUUGAUGGAUGUAUGGAGCUUGUAGUGCCACUUGGUCCUAACUGGUAAGUUGGUGGUGUGGAGUGUUGUCUCAUUAGUUGUUUGUUUUGGCACUAURUAGUAGUCAACUCCAGUAGCAMACAUACUUAAACUUUUGAAUUCUAUUUGGUUUUCUUUUAUUUAUGGGUUSAGGCCAGUAGUUGAUCUUUGUUCUCUCUCUCCGCCCAGGUUGUGGUGUGGUUCAGCACCGGCUACAUCACCAUAAAGGACAUGGUGGUCACCGGCAUGCCCAUCAAGAUCGUCGGCGUUGCCGCUCUCAAGGUCCUGCU
RNAcentral lists this long non-coding RNA (532 nucleotides) under Hordeum vulgare. Its description in RNAcentral is "long non-coding RNA (HVUL_LNC004880)". The record is from RNAcentral. Lineage: Eukaryota; Viridiplantae; Streptophyta; Magnoliopsida; Poales; Poaceae.